Molecule: non-coding RNA, 1449 nt
Organism: Nomia melanderi (Alkali bee)
Lineage: Eukaryota; Metazoa; Arthropoda; Insecta; Hymenoptera; Halictidae
Source: RefSeq, a predicted model, not a curated record
GAGAGAAAGAGAGAAAGAGAGAAAGAGAGAAAGAGAGAAAGAGAGAAAGAGAGAGCUUACAGACCGUUUCUACCGUUCAGCUCGCACGGCUGUCCUUCACCGACACUUCGAAACGUAGAACGCACCCGGUUCUCGCGCCACAGUUAACUCGGACACCCUGUACACCACUCGCGGCGACGAUCUCCUCCGCCGUCGAACACUUUCCACCCGGUCCACGCCGGAACGAGAAUACCUCGGGUUUGCGUGUCCCCGGCGGCGGAGAGGACGCGCGAUGGAAGCACGGAAGACGGCGGCCGGACGCUUUGUGUGUCGUAGGUGGGCCCAGACGGGCGAGCCAGACUGUCCCAGGAGCGCUCGGAUGGCUUCCUAUAUGCAGGCAGCCUGUUCACUUGCCGUAAAGCAAAAUGGCUCCUCUCGAUCCACGGAUAAAAGGGAAAUCGUUCCCUGCGAAAGAUGGUCGACGCACUUUCAACCGUCCUGCCAGUCUGGACACUUGUUUUCAAUGAGCCCCUUUUUACCGAUACCGUGAACCGUGAUCAUCGUUCCACUCGGUACCGAUACUGGAAGUUGCGUGGCUGGAGUCUGAGAAUCGUAAACGGGAGCGGAGCGCUGCUGCUCCCCGAGGUGCAACAACCUUCGCGGACCAAGAAGAACUAGGAUAAACCAGUUGUGUGUCUCUGCGUGACGCCACGUCUUUCUUUGGUGGACGGCGGCGCGAAAUACCGACGGGCGGUAGACAGAGGAGUCGUCAGCCCGUUUCGCCGUCGGAGCAGCGAGUGCCUUAGCACUUACGGUAGCGUUACCUGCGUACGAUCGUGCGAAGCGGUCCCCUAAACGGCGCACGGUGUCGUUGGAACGACGACGGACCUUCCACCGGCGAACCGCACGGACACCGUGGACCCUCCGACCACCGUUGCCGCCCGAAGCCGCUCGGGGAACACCACGGGCGCUCGACGCUAGAACUACCGUGUAUUUAAUACCCUUAGCGGUAUUACCCUUAACCCUUAGCGCUCCAGAUGGUCUUGUAAUCUAUCGGCAACUGCAACUAGUUUUUAUAGUAUCCCUAGCGAAAAUGAGAAAUAAUUGUAGAGUAGUUUCUUUAAGAUUCAUUCAAAUAUAUAAUAUUACUCCUGGUGCAAUAUUGGAGCCUACAGAGUUCAAAGGGUUAAUAUAUAGUCCCCAUAAAAAUUGUAACAAUAGAUUAUCUUCAGACAUUCGUUACAGUAGUCGAGUAAAACUAUUUUCAAGAUAACUUUGAAUAUUCAAUGCCUUCGAGAUAAUAAUUGCGGAACAAAUGAAAACCAGUCAUUCUAACUGGCACGGUAGUUCUAGUAUUAACACAUUGCGUACCGGCUAAUUUUCAGAAAACUGAAUUGUGAUGGCAAUUUUCAGUGAGGUCAACUUAUAUCACUAUACAUAGAAAAACUCAAAUAUCAUAUUGUUGUGUAA